This 778-nucleotide small RNA is filed under the name Malus domestica (apple). RNAcentral's name for it is "sRNA MD07G0074700". Lineage: Eukaryota; Viridiplantae; Streptophyta; Magnoliopsida; Rosales; Rosaceae. The record is from RNAcentral.
GAAAAAUCCUAGCUCUGCCCUUUCUUGUGUCUAUCAUUUUGCAUUAAGAACUUUACAUUUUACCACGUUUUUUGGGUGGUAUAGACGGAGAGUAAUUGGAGGAAUUUUUAGGGAGAAAGGGGCGGGGAAGUGGAUCACUUGUGGUAUAUGAUGAAUCAAGUUAUCUGUCGUAUGUUUCAUCUUGGCAGGGGACUUCGCCAUGCAUAUUGGGCGGGCACCAAAUUUUUUGCUGUUCUAUAUCAUACUAGAUAAAGUGCUUGCUUUCGUUCUUGGAAGACUAGAUUCAACAUUCAGGCACCAGCAGCGUCAUUCACUGGUGGGCUAGUUGGGGAUUCAUCCCCUUAUGCUGUACUACCUCAGGUAAUUCUCAACGGUCAACUGGAAGGAGGUGCAAUUUAAUAGGAUAACAUUUCAGUUUAUCAAAUCAAAUGGGCAAACAAAACUCCUCGGUUGGAUGGUGCUGCUUGUUGACUGUACUGACAUCAUGUAAUUUUGAAUAGAUGGUAGGUUUAGGCUGUUCUGGUUCUUAUAGUCAGCUCUCUGUAAACCUUAUGCUCUAGAACUAGCAAAGCAAUUUAGUAACUAAAGACUUCCCAAUGCCCAAUUCAGUUGUUUAGCUUCAGCGUAUGGCCAAGCGGAAGGAAGAAAGCUCUUCACCCCCUGUUAGUAUGUUGAGUGCUCUUGAUUGAUGAGAUGAUAUAUUCUAUUUAUCGUAUUCAGAACUAGGUUAUUUUACUUGAGAGAUAUAGUUUUUUAUUUCUUCAUAUUCUUAAAUGUU